Molecule: unclassified non-coding RNA, 287 nt
Filed under: Hevea brasiliensis (rubber tree)
Lineage: Eukaryota; Viridiplantae; Streptophyta; Magnoliopsida; Malpighiales; Euphorbiaceae
Source: RNAcentral
GGAAAAUAUAAGAUACAUCAUAUAAUGAACAGUAUUGGCCAAAUAUCAGAUUUCGUCAAAAAGACUACAAGAGCAAUUUCAGACCAUAGAGACUAAAAGUAAUUCGAAAAUGAUCCUGCAAAACUUGUCUAUAUAUAAGCUACUUGCAUCUGUACUAAAAGCAAUUACAAAUUGGAAGUUGAGAGGAUGUACAGUUGUAAUAGAUCUUUGAUUCUAAAUGACAAUGAAUGGUGAAGCUCAAGGUUCAUCUGUAUCACUUCCUCCGAGUUGAGCAUCUUCAAGUAUUG